UCUUUUUGAGACAGGGUCUCCCUGUAGCCCUAGCUGUCCUAGAUUCACUAUGGAGACCAGGCUGGCCUCGAACUCACAGAGAUCUGCCUGCCUCUGCCUCCCGAGUGCUGGGAUUAGAGGCAAACGCCACCACACCCGGCUUAAUUUUUAUUAUUUUUAUUUUAUGUGUACAAGUGUAUUGCCCACCCAUAUGUAUGCACCCGUGUUGUGCAAUCCCUCAGUGGUCAGAAGAGGGUUGUGGAUUCCCCUGGAACUGGAGUUAAGGACAGUUCUUAGCUGCCAUGUGGGUGCUGGGAACCGAACUUGGAGCCUCUGCAAGAGCAGUCAGUGUUCUUAAUCGCUGAGCCAUCUCUCCAGCCCCAUAAGAGACCUUAUGUAAAAGUCUUGGAAAGGUGCCAAAGCCACUAUUGCUGUUUUUAUUUAUUGCACAUCUGCCAUGAUCAUUUUAGGCAUCCACAAGUCAUUGAUAUAAGACCAUCCUGUGGACCCUGGGUGGGUGAACCUUUCUUAGAGCACAGUUUGCUGGAUGGGCCCCAGGGUCCCUGCAUGCCCUGGCAUUUCUUCUCACCCAGCCCUGGAGUCCCUGUUGCUGACUGACCUGUGGUGGUGCCUCUAUCUGCAGUAUGUACAUGAAGGUGGUGUGGAGGACCUGGUGCGGCCCCUUCUGGCCAUCCUGGACAGGCCAGAGAAACUGCUGCUGCUGAGGGACAUCAGGAGUGUGGUGGCCCCCACGGACCUUGGUCGCUUUGACAGCAUGGUGAUGCCUGUGGAAUUAAAGGCUUUCGAGGCUCUCAAGAGCAGGGCAGUGAGGCCUUCUGCUUUGAGACCAGCCAGACAAGACACACCACCCAAGCGUCACCUCAUCACCCCUGUGCCUGGUCAGUCAGAGUCCCAGAGCCUAGAAAGAGGGAAACCCCAGGGACAUUAGAGCAGGGAAAACAGGCCUUCCAUCCUGCCUUGGAUCUGGGUCAUUGCGGGUCAGAAGGAAAGCCCCUUGGCCACUGUUAUCGGAUCUACCCAUACUCGGACCAUUAUUUGAGACCAUUAUUUCAUAGGGUGCUUUAAAACCACACUUUUAUUUUUUAUUUUAUCUUAUUUAUUUAUUUAUUUAUUUAUUUAUUUAUUUAUUUAUUUUUUGUCUUUCUG
RNAcentral lists this long non-coding RNA (1146 nucleotides) under Nannospalax galili (Upper Galilee mountains blind mole rat). Its description in RNAcentral is "lncRNA (ENSNGAG00000024539.1)". The record is from RNAcentral. Lineage: Eukaryota; Metazoa; Chordata; Mammalia; Rodentia; Spalacidae.